This 5923-nucleotide long non-coding RNA is filed under the name Brassica napus (rape). RNAcentral's name for it is "long non-coding RNA (BNAP_LNC004630)". Lineage: Eukaryota; Viridiplantae; Streptophyta; Magnoliopsida; Brassicales; Brassicaceae. The record is from RNAcentral.
AUUUAUGAAGAGGCAGAUGAAAGAGGAAAGAAAGAGACGUAAGAUGAUGAAGAAAUUUGCUGCCGAGAUUAAAGAAUUUGCUAACGGGCAUAGUGAAAAUGUGGAAGAGGAGAGAAGUGAACCUGCUUCUGUUCCAGUUCCCAUGCCAGAUUUGUCUCUACCUGCAUCGUUCGACUCUGACAACCCUACUCACAGGUACCGGUCUCUUGAUUCCUCCAAUCAGUGGCUUGUUAGGCCAGUCCUGGAAACUCAGGGGUGGGAUCAUGAUGUUGGGUAUGAAGGUGUCAAUGCAGAACGACUUUUUGUUGUUAAAGAAAAGAUACCGAUAUCUUUCUCGGGGCAAGUUACAAAGGACAAAAAGGAUGCAAAUGUGCAGCUGGAAAUGGCCAGCUCGGUUAAACAUGGAGAGGGCAGAUCAACCUCCCUAGGUUUUGAGAUGCAAAAUGCUGGGAAGGAAUUGGCUUACACUGUUCGAAGUGAUACCAAAUUUAACAAUUUUAGGAAACACAAAGCUGCAGCUGGUCUCUCUGUAACGCUCUUGGGUGAUUCGGUGUCUGCGGGGCUGAAAGUUGAGGAUAAGUUGAUUGCUAAUAAAAGGUUCAGAAUGGUUAUGUGUGGAGGGGCAAUGACUAGUCGAGGAGAUGUUGCUUAUGGGGGUAGUUUAGAAGCUCAGCUGAGAGAUAAAGAUUAUCCGCUGGGUAGGUUUUUAUCUACUCUAGGACUUUCUGUGAUGGAUUGGCAUGGGGAUCUUGCUAUUGGAGGGAAUAUACAGUCCCAGGUGCCCAUAGGACGUUCAUCUAAUCUAAUAGCUCGUGCUAAUCUGAACAACAGAGGGGCAGGGCAAGUAAGCCUCCGCGUAAAUAGCUCUGAGCAGCUCCAACUUGCACUGGUCGCAUUGGUUCCUCUGUUCAAGAAGCUACUUAGUUAUUAUUCCCCUCAGCAAAUGGAAUAUUGACAAUAAUGGAUCACUUCGGGUUUCAAUUCACUUACUACAAGAACAUCCUAGAUUGAGAGUUGAAAAGGUACUAAUCUAUCUGCUUUUGCUUUCUUAUUCCAUUUGCUGUAAACCCGCUUUAUUGAUUGCUGAUGUGGCUUUUGGUUUUUGAGCAGGAACCUUGGUGUGCCCUUUGGGUUGAAAACUUUAAGAACAAUUUGUUGGAGGAGGCCUCUGUUUUCUUUACAUAGCCAGAACACUUGUUCGUUCCUUGUCUAAUUUAAGCAUAGUUGUGGUUUUAUUCUCUUUCCAAAACCUUUGUAUGGCUUUCUGUUCAUGUCUACCUCUGGAUUUUUCAUAAAGCUUGUUAAAAUUAUGCUGCAAUCUACUUGUUGAUUUUAAGACACCCAUCAUCACCCUCUGAGCUAGCCGUAAUUCAAGGCUUUUAAAGGGAGUUUUGUAGGGGUCCUUAUCAUCUGCUAAACGUCUUUUAAUGUUGUCAAGCAUCUAUUGUAAGCUGCUUUGGAAAGUCAAAGUUGCUGGUAACUUUUGUUGCGCCAGUUCGUAUUAUGCGUCUUUCCCUCAAAUCAAAAGAUUCUGUUGUUGAUACUGUUACUGCGAAUCUCACAUUGUCACGUUGAGUCCCACCAAAUCCAUUGGUUUGGUGCUCAUGCAAUCCAUCUGCGAGACUUCUGUUACACAAUUUGCUCUUGUUAGCAGCGAGAUGUGGUAGCUUUGGUCUUGUUGUCAUUAUAAAAGCUUCUGUGGUGGAAAUACCGUUUGGAUUUGCCAGUUCUUAACGGAAGAGAUUAUCUAUGUGAAAGUUGUCACUGCAUGUUUUGACUUGUCUAAUAUUGUCGAGUAGGAAGCUUUUAAUGGGAGAAGAUGGUAGACAAGAAGUUUACAGUGUUGGGCUGCAAGAGUAUGAAGUCUCAGAUGUUCAAAUUGUAAGGUACUUAUCGAGAAAGGGAACGCUGAAAGGAGCACAGGGUCAACUGGAGCAAAUGGGGAGUCAUCUAGAUCACAUGCUAUCUUACAACUUGUUGGAAAGAAACACGUUUUGAGGUAAAAGAAACCAGACGUAAAAAUGAUGAUGCCAAUGAAUUGCCUGGGAAAGUUGUUGGGAAGAGUACUUUCAUUGAUCUUGCUGGCAGUGAAAGAGGUGCAGACACCACAGACAAUGACCGCCAGACAAGGUGAGAAUGCUCUCUAGACCUCGUGGCUGAGUACUGAUGUGGGACCCACAAAUGACGCUGGAGAUGAUGUCAUGGCACGCUGGCAAUGAUCAGCGUUAUCUUUCAAACCUUCUGAUGCAGGUUCUUUGCUUUCCCUGAGUCUUUCUUUCCAUUACACUCUUCCAAUAACUUGCAUGCCUUGUAGGUGGUAAUUGCCAAUGUUUUGUUAGAGCUUUGGUUCGCUGAAUGCUGAGUAUGAAUGUAAGCUUGGAAUCUUUUUGACCAUCCUUGUGAAUUGUGCUUAUCUUGCUAGAAUUUGUUUCAGGGCAUGUUAGUAAUUUAUCUCUUUCGAUUGGUAAUUUUCUUAGCUAUAGAAACUUUACUGGCUGGCUGCUUUGUGUUUGUUUUUGCUGUAUCUGCCACGGUUAUGGAGCUCAGACUGCUGGAGAGAAUCAAAAGCUUUUCAAACUAAUGUGAAAUCUGAAUCUCAACGGAGAGUACUCUGAAUCAUAUAUACACCAUCAGCAGCUAUGCCUUCUUCGGAAGGAUUUUUUUUCCACCCGAGUUCAGAGAUGAUUUUGGAGCUUGUUUGAUGGGAUCUUCAUGCAGUGGAUGACUCAGAGCUUCUCUCUGAGGUACGUUUGGAAGGACAACUAGACAUAGAUCAUUCAUAGUUAUGUUGAUUGGUAUGUUCUGUAGAAACUAUAGCCUCUCUUGAAACUAAUUCUCAGCUUCUCUUAACUUCAGACCGUGAAGAGAAAGUGUCACCACCUCGUGGGAAAGGGUUGCGGGAAGAAAAACCAGCCAGACCACAAAACUUGUCUAAGAGAGACGUCAGGUCGUCAGAUAUCCCCUACCUUUACAAACUUUAGGCAGACACAAGUAAGCCAUACAUAUAUAUAUAUUAUAUAUAUAACCGACCCUUCACUUGAUGAAAACAUCGAUGCACUGUUUGAGGUAAAAUUUAACCAAUUUAGUAAGCCAUACAUAUAUAUAUAUAUAUAUAAAACAAUCACGUUUGUAAUAGCUAAUAUAAAAUAUUUGCGACUGACAAUAAUAGAAAAGACAGGUGAGUAACUCCAAGAAAGAAGAAAACAAGUAUCUGUCUCGUGUAGUGAUGGCAAAAAGGCCAACAAGAUUUAGCAGCCCACCUAAAAGGCCUUGGCCCACUUCAUGUUUCCACCGUACGAUGCUUAAACCCAAAACGGAUAUCCACCGUCCCUGGAAAGCUCUUAUCUCCCUCCUCCUCCACCUUCCCCGUCAGAAGUUUGCCUCUCUCCCUCUCUCUCUCUAAACGAGGUUAGCUUUCUCUUUUUUUUUGUAUAAGCUUUUAGGGGUUUCACUUUCAAUGAUAGAGACGAGUAUUCUAGAGUUUCGUUUCUGCUCUAAUUUUAUCGUUAGGGUUAAGCCUUUUUAGUCUGAUUGAUUCGUGAUUUCGUUUUGUUUAUGGUUGUAAGUAGGUAUGGAAGAGAAGAAGCUUGCAGACGAUGGAAACAGCGAUGAGCAAGUAGAGAAAAUUGAAUUGGUGGUUUCUGAUGUUGAUGCGAGGGAUACCGAAGAUGAGGAAGCUAUUGACAGUUCAAAGCCUGAAUCUCUCCAACCCGAUGAUUUACCUUCAGAGGAAGUGAAAGAUCCAAAGGAGGUUAAUGGAGAGAGCCAUGGUGAGGCAAACCUGCAACAUAUAACUACGGGAGAGGCUGUACCAGGUUUUGUGACUUCCCGAAUGAAUGGUGAUGAAGGGGAAGCAGGUGCAGGGAAUGUCAGCGAGACAUCCACACAUUCUUUUUCUGAAAAUGGAACUGUCUUUCUUGAGAAGAAACAGCUGGUGGCUGAAGUGAUCGAGGAAACAACAAAUGAUGGUAUUGAAGAGGAAAACAAGGAGGAAACUGUUGAUGUAUCUGGGGCACAAAGAAAUGGUGAACGUGCUUCAGGUGAGAGAUCUUUCAAUGAUAGUAUUCAAGUAGCUUCUGCUGGGACCUCAUCUCCGUUGGAGAAAUCUAGUUCUGAGGAAAAUGGAGAGACUGAAGGUCGCAUCAGUAGAGAUCAUGAUACAGUUCAAAAUGGAGGACUUGGUGUUGAACAUACUUCUCUACCUAAUAAGGAUUUUGAGAAGCAGCAAGGCAGCAGAGUGAAUAUUAUGAGUCCAGAGAUUCAGGAAAGAAAAUCUGAGGUAGCAAUUUCUGUUUCCCCAACAGAGUCUACAAGUCCUGCUCGCCCAGCAGGCCUUGGGCGUGAUGCUCCUCUUUUGGAAUCCACACCACGUGUUCUUCAUCAGCCUCGUGUCAAUGGUAAUGUGUCUCAGAAUCAGUCUGAGCAAGCAGAGGACCCUACCCCUGCAGAGACCGAUGAGCAUGAUGAGACCCGUGAGAAGCUCCAAUUGAUCAGGGUCAAGUUUUUGAGGCUUUCACAUAGAUUAGGGCAAACUCCACAUAAUGUUGUUGUUGCUCAGGUUUUGUAUAGGCUUGGAUUAGCAGAGCAGUUGAGGGGGAGAAACGGAAGCCGUGUUGGUGCCUUUAGCUUUGAUCGAGCCAGUUCCAUGGCAGAACAACUUGAGGCAGCUGGACAGGAUCCACUUGAUUUUUCUUGUACAGUUAUGGUGCUCGGUAAAAGUGGUGUUGGUAAGAGUGCUACGAUUAAUUCUAUUUUUGAUGAAGUGAAGAUCUGUACGGAUGCAUUCCAGAUGGGGACAAAGAGGGUUCAGGAGGUUGAGGGUUUUGUUCAGGGAAUUAAGGUUCGGGUGAUUGACACUCCAGGCCUCUUACCAUCAUGGUCUGAUCAACACAAAAAUGAGAAAAUGUUGAAGUCUGUUAAGGUUUUCAUCAAGAAAAAUCCACCGGAUAUCGUAUUAUAUCUUGAUAGGCUGGAUAUGCAAAGCAGAGAUUCUGGUGACACGCCUCUCUUGCGCACCAUCACUGAUGUUUUUGGACCAUCGAUAUGGUUUAAUGCCAUUGUGGGUUUGACUCAUGCCGCUUCUGCUCCACCAGAUGGCCCAAAUGGCACUGCCUCUAGCUAUGACAUGUUUGUAACACAACGUUCCCAUGUCAUUCAGCAGGCCAUUCGCCAAGCAGCUGGAGAUAUGAGGCUCAUGAACCCUGUGUCUUUAGUUGAGAACCACUCUGCUUGCAGGACAAAUCGGGCAGGUCAGAGAGUAUUACCGAAUGGCCAAGUGUGGAAGCCUCAUUUGCUGUUACUCUCAUUUGCGUCCAAGAUUCUAGCAGAAGCAAACGCUCUUCUGAAAUUACAAGAUAAUAAUACUCCAGGGAGACCAUUUGUUGCUCGAUCCAAGGCUCCACCACUGCCACUUCUCCUCUCAUCGUUUCUGCAAUCAAGACCGCAAGCUAAACUUCCUGAAGAGCAGUAUGGUGAUGAAGAAGAUGAAGAUGAUUUGGACGAAUCAUCAGGUUCUGACGAAGAAUCAGAGUACGACCAGCUUCCUCCUUUUAAGCGAUUGACUAAAGCUGAGAUGGCUAGGCUUAGUAAAUCUCAGAAGAAGCAAUAUCUUGAUGAGAUGGAGUACCGGGAGAAACUAUUUAUGAAGAGGCAGAUGAAAGAGGAAAGAAAGAGACGUAAGAUGAUGAAGAAAUUUGCUGCCGAGAUUAAAGAAUUUGCUAACGGGCAUAGUGAAAAUGUGGAAGAGGAGAGAAGUGAACCUGCUUCUGUUCCAGUUCCCAUGCCAGAUUUGUCUCUACCUGCAUCGUUCGACUCUGACAACCCUACUCACAGGUACCGGUCUCUUGAUUCCUCCAAUCAGUGGCUUGUUAGGCCAGUCCUGGAAACUCAGGGGUGGGAUCAUGAUGUUGGCUACGAAGGUGUC